This 468-nucleotide ribosomal RNA is filed under the name uncultured bacterium. Its description in RNAcentral is "partial 16S ribosomal RNA". It matches the Rfam family "Bacterial small subunit ribosomal RNA", at positions 28 to 507 of the family's 1533-position model. The record is from RNAcentral.
GACGAACGCUGGCGGCGUGCUUAACACAUGCAAGUCGAACGGAAAGGCCCUGCUUUUGUGGGGUGCUCGAGUGGCGAACGGGUGAGUAACACGUGAGUAACCUGCCCUUGACUUUGGGAUAACUUCAGGAAACUGGGGCUAAUACCGGAUAGGAGCUCCUGCUGCAUGGUGGGGGUUGGAAAGUUUCGGCGGUUGGGGAUGGACUCGCGGCUUAUCAGCUUGUUGGUGGGGUAGUGGCUUACCAAGGCUUUGACGGGUAGCCGGCCUGAGAGGGUGACCAGCCACAUUGGGACUGAGAUACGGCCCAGACUCCUACGGGAGGCAGCAGUGGGGAAUAUUGCACAAUGGGCGGAAGCCUGAUGCAGCAACGCCGCGUGCGGGAUGACGGCCUUCGGGUUGUAAACCGCUUUCGCCUGUGACGAAGCGUGAGUGACGGUAAUGGGUAAAGAAGCACCGGCUAACUACGUG